GGUUAAGCGACUAAGCGUACACGGUGGAUGCCCUGGCAGUCAGAGGCGAUGAAGGACGUGCUAAUCUGCGAUAAGCGUCGGUAAGGUGAUAUGAACCGUUAUAACCGGCGAUUUCCGAAUGGGGAAACCCAGUGUGAUUCGUCACACUAUCAUUAACUGAAUCCAUAGGUUAAUGAGGCGAACCGGGGGAACUGAAACAUCUAAGUACCCCGAGGAAAAGAAAUCAACCGAGAUUCCCCCAGUAGCGGCGAGCGAACGGGGAGCAGCCCAGAGCCUGAAUCAGUGUGUGUGUUAGUGGAAGCGUCUGGAAAGGCGCGCGAUACAGGGUGACAGCCCCGUACACAAAAAUGCACAUACUGUGAGCUCGAUGAGUAGGGCGGGACACGUGGUAUCCUGUCUGAAUAUGGGGGGACCAUCCUCCAAGGCUAAAUACUCCUGACUGACCGAUAGUGAACCAGUACCGUGAGGGAAAGGCGAAAAGAACCCCGGCGAGGGGAGUGAAAAAGAACCUGAAACCGUGUACGUACAAGCAGUGGGAGCACAGAGCAAUCUGUGUGACUGCGUACCUUUUGUAUAAUGGGUCAGCGACUUAUAUUCUGUAGCAAGGUUAACCGAAUAGGGGAGCCGAAGGGAAACCGAGUCUUAACUGGGCGUUAAGUUGCAGGGUAUAGACCCGAAACCCGGUGAUCUAGCCAUGGGCAGGUUGAAGGUUGGGUAACACUAACUGGAGGACCGAACCGACUAAUGUUGAAAAAUUAGCGGAUGACUUGUGGCUGGGGGUGAAAGGCCAAUCAAACCGGGAGAUAGCUGGUUCUCCCCGAAAGCUAUUUAGGUAGCGCCUCGUGAAUUCAUCUCCGGGGGUAGAGCACUGUUUCGGCAAGGGGGUCAUCCCGACUUACCAACCCGAUGCAAACUGCGAAUACCGGAGAAUGUUAUCACGGGAGACACACGGCGGGUGCUAACGUCCGUCGUGAAGAGGGAAACAACCCAGACCGCCAGCUAAGGUCCCAAAGUCAUGGUUAAGUGGGAAACGAUGUGGGAAGGCCCAGACAGCCAGGAUGUUGGCUUAGAAGCAGCCAUCAUUUAAAGAAAGCGUAAUAGCUCACUGGUCGAGUCGGCCUGCGCGGAAGAUGUAACGGGGCUAAACCAUGCACCGAAGCUGCGGCAGCGACGCUGAUGCGUUGUUGGGUAGGGGAGCGUUCUGUAAGCCUGUGAAGGUGUGCUGUGAGGCAUGCUGGAGGUAUCAGAAGUGCGAAUGCUGACAUAAGUAACGAUAAAGCGGGUGAAAAGCCCGCUCGCCGGAAGACCAAGGGUUCCUGUCCAACGUUAAUCGGGGCAGGGUGAGUCGACCCCUAAGGCGAGGCCGAAAGGCGUAGUCGAUGGGAAACAGGUUAAUAUUCCUGUACUUGGUGUUACUGCGAAGGGGGGACGGAGAAGGCUAUGUUGGCCGGGCGACGGUUGUCCCGGUUUAAGCGUGUAGGCUGGUUUUCCAGGCAAAUCCGGAAAAUCAAGGCUGAGGCGUGAUGACGAGGCACUACGGUGCUGAAGCAACAAAUGCCCUGCUUCCAGGAAAAGCCUCUAAGCAUCAGGUAACAUCAAAUCGUACCCCAAACCGACACAGGUGGUCAGGUAGAGAAUACCAAGGCGCUUGAGAGAACUCGGGUGAAGGAACUAGGCAAAAUGGUGCCGUAACUUCGGGAGAAGGCACGCUGAUAUGUAGGUGAAGUCCCUCGCGGAUGGAGCUGAAAUCAGUCGAAGAUACCAGCUGGCUGCAACUGUUUAUUAAAAACACAGCACUGUGCAAACACGAAAGUGGACGUAUACGGUGUGACGCCUGCCCGGUGCCGGAAGGUUAAUUGAUGGGGUUAGCGCAAGCGAAGCUCUUGAUCGAAGCCCCGGUAAACGGCGGCCGUAACUAUAACGGUCCUAAGGUAGCGAAAUUCCUUGUCGGGUAAGUUCCGACCUGCACGAAUGGCGUAAUGAUGGCCAGGCUGUCUCCACCCGAGACUCAGUGAAAUUGAACUCGCUGUGAAGAUGCAGUGUACCCGCGGCAAGACGGAAAGACCCCGUGAACCUUUACUAUAGCUUGACACUGAACAUUGAGCCUUGAUGUGUAGGAUAGGUGGGAGGCUUUGAAGUGUGGACGCCAGUCUGCAUGGAGCCGACCUUGAAAUACCACCCUUUAAUGUUUGAUGUUCUAACGUUGACCCGUGAUCCGGGUUGCGGACAGUGUCUGGUGGGUAGUUUGACUGGGGCGGUCUCCUCCUAAAGAGUAACGGAGGAGCACGAAGGUUGGCUAAUCCUGGUCGGACAUCAGGAGGUUAGUGCAAUGGCAUAAGCCAGCUUGACUGCGAGCGUGACGGCGCGAGCAGGUGCGAAAGCAGGUCAUAGUGAUCCGGUGGUUCUGAAUGGAAGGGCCAUCGCUCAACGGAUAAAAGGUACUCCGGGGAUAACAGGCUGAUACCGCCCAAGAGUUCAUAUCGACGGCGGUGUUUGGCACCUCGAUGUCGGCUCAUCACAUCCUGGGGCUGAAGUAGGUCCCAAGGGUAUGGCUGUUCGCCAUUUAAAGUGGUACGCGAGCUGGGUUUAGAACGUCGUGAGACAGUUCGGUCCCUAUCUGCCGUGGGCGCUGGAGAAUUGAGGGGGGCUGCUCCUAGUACGAGAGGACCGGAGUGGACGCAUCACUGGUGUUCGGGUUGUCAUGCCAAUGGCACUGCCCGGUAGCUAAAUGCGGAAGAGAUAAGUGCUGAAAGCAUCUAAGCACGAAACUUGCCCCGAGAUGAGUUCUCCCUGACUCCUUGAGAGUCCUGAAGGAACGUUGAAGACGACGACGUUGAUAGGCCGGGUGUGUAAGCGCAGCGAUGCGUUGAGCUAACCGGUACUAAUGAACCGUGAGGCUUAACCUU
This 2906-nucleotide ribosomal RNA is filed under the name Escherichia coli. RNAcentral's name for it is "23S ribosomal RNA". It matches the Rfam family "Bacterial large subunit ribosomal RNA". Lineage: Bacteria; Pseudomonadati; Pseudomonadota; Gammaproteobacteria; Enterobacterales; Enterobacteriaceae. The record is from RNAcentral.